This 376-nucleotide ribosomal RNA is filed under the name uncultured bacterium. RNAcentral's name for it is "partial 16S ribosomal RNA". It matches the Rfam family "Bacterial small subunit ribosomal RNA", at positions 338 to 732 of the family's 1533-position model. The record is from RNAcentral.
CCUACGGGUGGCAGCAGUAGGGAAUAUUGCUCAAUGGGGGAAACCCUGAAGCAGCAACGCCGCGUGGAGGAUGAAGGUUUUCGGAUUGUAAACUCCUUUUGUUAGAGAAGAUAAUGACGGUAUCUAACGAAUAAGCACCGGCUAACUCCGUGCCAGCAGCCGCGGUAAUACGGAGGUUGCAAGCGUUACCCGGAAUCACUGGGCGUAAAGAGCGCGUAGGCGGGAUAGCAAGUCAGCGGUAAAAGCCUGGGGCUAAACCCCUGCGAGCCGUUGAAACUGGUUGUCUUGAGAUGUCGAGAGGUAUGCGGAAUGCGCAGUGUAGCGGUGAAAUGCUUAGAUAUUGCGCGGAACACCGAUUGCGAAGGCAGCAUACCGG